UUUGAGGAUUUGAUCCUGGUCCAGGACGAACGCUAGCGACGUGCUUUAAGCAUGCAAGUAGAGCGAGCCCGCAAGGGCAAGCUGCGAACGGCUGAGUAACACGUAGGAACCUACACUUUGGUGGGGUACAGCUCGCCGAAAGGCGGGGUAAUACCGCAUGACCUCGCGAGAAAAGGAUGUAACUGUCCGCCGAAGAAGGGGCCUGCGGCCUAUCAGCUUGUUGGUGGGGUAACGGCCUACCAAGGCUACGACGGGUAGGGGGCGUGAGAGCGUGUUCCCCCAGAAUGGGACUGAGACACGGCCCAUACACCUACGGGUGGCAGCAACUGGGAAUCGUGCGCAAUGGACGAAAGUCUGACGCCGCGACGUCGCGUGUGGGAUGACGGCCUUCGGGUUGUAAACCACUUUUGCCAAAGAGUGAUUACUUUGGAGAAUAAGCACCGGCUAACUACGUGCCAGCAGCAGCGGUAAUACGUAGGGUGCAAGCGUUGUCCGAAUUUAUUGGGCGUAAAGAGUUCGUAGGCGUUUCCUUACAUCUUGUUUCAAAUACCGGAGCUCAACUUCGGGAAGGGGCAAGAGAUGGAGGAAAUUGGAGAGUGCAGGGGCUACUGGAACUUGCGGUGUAGGAGUGAAAUCCGUUGAUAUCGUAAGGAACACCGAGGGCGAAGGCAAGUAGCUGGGCACACCUUGACGCUGAGGAACGAAAGCUAGGGUAGCGAAAGGGAUUAGAGACCCCUGUAGUCCUAGCCGUAAACGAUGCUCGCUAGGGAUUUGCGUCCCGUAAGCUAACGCGUUAAGCGAGCCGCCUGGGGAGUACGAGCGCAAGCUUAAAACUCAAAGGAAUUGACGGGGACCCGCACAACCAGUGGAGCAUCUCUGAUAGAAAUAUCGGGGGAUCCUUCGAAAGUUGGAUGGUAGCACAGGUGUUGCAUGGCUAUCGUCAGCUCGUGUCGUGGGAUGUUCCCUUCAGUGGGGUAACGAGCGCAACCCCUGCCGUAUGUUAAAUUAUUCAUACGGGACUGGCCAGCUUAGCUGGCAGGAAGUGGGGACGAUGUUAAGUCCGCAUGGCCCUUAUGUCUAGGGCAACACACAUGCUACAAUGGAGCCGACAAUGGGUUGCCAAGUGGUAACACGGAGCUAAUCCCAUCAAACGGCUUCUCAGUUGGGAUUGAGGGCUGCAACUCGCCCUCAUGAACGCGGAAUUGGUAGUAAUCGGAAAUCAGCUAAGUUCCGGUGAAUACGUUCUCGGGUCUUGUACACACCGCAAUCCGUCAAGUUAGUGAAGUUGGGGGCACCCGAAUCCCGGAUGUUCCGGGGCAAGGUGAAACCAGCGACAAGAAUUAAGUCGUAACAAGGUAUCCGUUCUGGAAGGAGCGGAUGGAUCACCUCCUU
This 1392-nucleotide ribosomal RNA is filed under the name Candidatus Woesebacteria bacterium GW2011_GWA1_39_12. RNAcentral describes it as "bacterial SSU rRNA". It matches the Rfam family "Bacterial small subunit ribosomal RNA". Lineage: Bacteria; Candidatus Woeseibacteriota. The record is from RNAcentral.